RNAcentral lists this ribosomal RNA (460 nucleotides) under uncultured bacterium. RNAcentral describes it as "partial 16S ribosomal RNA". It matches the Rfam family "Bacterial small subunit ribosomal RNA", at positions 338 to 795 of the family's 1533-position model. The record is from RNAcentral.
CCUACGGGAGGCAGCAGUGAGGAAUAUUGGUCAAUGGACGAGAGUCUGAACCAGCCAAGUAGCGUGAAGGAUGACUGCCCUAUGGGUUGUAAACGUCUUUUAUAUGGGAAUAAAAUGUUCCACGUGUAGGAUUUUGUAUGUACCUUAUGAAUAAGGAUCGGCUAACUCCGUGCCAGCAGCCGCGGUAAUACGGAGGAUCCGAGCGUUCUCCGGAUUUAUUGGGUUUAAAGGGAGCGUAGGUGGGUUUUUAAGUUAGUUGUGAAAGUUUCGGGCUCCAACGUAAAAUUGCAAUUGAUACUGGCAGUCUUGAGUACAGUAGAGGUAGGCGGAAUUAGUGGUGUAGCGGUGAAAUGCUUAGAUAUAACGAAGAACUCCGAUUGCGAAGGCAGCUUACUGGACUGCAACUGACACUGAGGCACGAAAGUGUGGGUAGCAAACAGGAUUAGAUACCCGAGUAGUC